Molecule: non-coding RNA, 107 nt
Organism: Haemonchus placei
Lineage: Eukaryota; Metazoa; Nematoda; Chromadorea; Rhabditida; Trichostrongylidae
Source: Rfam
GGUUCUGUCCCAGUACCACAAGGUACUAUGGGAUUCUGAUCAACCUUCGCGGUUGCGUCAAAACCUAAAUUUUUGGAUAGCCUUCCUGGGGUAUCCGGGAGGGCAGC